Xyrichtys novacula (pearly razorfish) is the source of this 490-nucleotide non-coding RNA. The record is from the annotation of a GenBank genome assembly. NCBI's taxonomy places the organism in Eukaryota, Metazoa, Chordata, Actinopteri, Labriformes, Labridae.
GGUUAGGGUUAGGGUUGGAGUUAGGGUUAGUGUUGGAGCUAGGGUUAGGGUUGGGCUUGGAGCUAGGAUUUUUCUGAGUGCAAUGAACCAACUCCCGAGUCUCUAGGACGUUCCUAAAAAAAUUUGAUUUUUUCCCAUAGGAAUGCAUGGGUUAUGGUUAGGGUUAGGGUUGGAGCUAGGGUUAGGGUUAGGGUUAGGGUUGGAGUUAGGGUUAGUGUUGGAGCUAGGGUUAGGGUUGGGCUUGGAGCUAGGAUUUUUCUGAGUGCACUGAACCAACUCCCGAGUCUCUAGGACAUUCCUAAAAAAAUUUGAUUUUUUCCCAUAGGAAUGCAUGGUUUAGGGUUAUGGUUAGGGUUAGGGUUGGAGCUAGGGUUAGGGUUAGGGUUAGGGUUGGAGUUAGGGUUAGUGUUGGAGCUAGGGUUAGGGUUGGGCUUGGAGCUAGGACUUUUCUGAGUGCAAUGAACCAACUCCCGAGUCUCUAGGACGUUCC